Pogoniulus pusillus (Red-fronted tinkerbird) is the source of this 2395-nucleotide long non-coding RNA. RefSeq lists it as uncharacterized. The record is from RefSeq and is a predicted model, not a curated record. The transcript is spliced from 2 exons. Lineage: Eukaryota; Metazoa; Chordata; Aves; Piciformes; Lybiidae.
UCAAGGUUGUGGGAGGGGAGAGAAGUUAGAAUGGCAGGGCAAGCAGGGGGCACACGUAAACUAGAGCUGAUCUGUGGCUGAGUCAGGGGAUGUGCAGAGAAAUUCCUUGGAGCUCAGGGGCAGAACCUCAUUUUCUCCUGAGAUGCGUGCAGUGGCUUCAUUUAUACAUGGGUCUCUUCAUCUCUGUUAAAGGAAACAGCCUGCUGAGAAAAAUCAUCCUUGAGCCACAGCUUUUCAUAUUCAGCCCAUCAAAGGGCAAUGUUUUAACUGUGAACUCCAGAAAAGGUCAUAUCAUUCAGGUGGGAGCCUUGUUGGCUUUGGCUACAGUACAGAGCUUCUGGGGGCCCCUGAACAAAGCCCCAGCUGUUGGUUCUGGCUCUCAGGUGGGAAGGGCUGUGAAAAUGAGCACAAGUAAUCAAGGCAUAAUUGCUUGCAUAGGGUGAGGACCAACAGGCUGCACCUGUGAAUUUGAGUGCCGUGUGGAAAGAGUCUUAGUUUGUGUUUGUCGACAGGCUCCUCAGUUCCUCUGUUUUUGGCUACUUGCUUCAGACUUUGCUAAAAGUCUAGCUGAGUUCUUACUUUACAGAUGCAAGGGCAAAAGCAAAGGAAUGUGUCUGAAAUCCAGGCACUGCUUGAAUGGAAGAAGCAGGAUGAAAACACAAGGAUCUUUUCUAUGCACUUCUGUCUCUGCCAGCCGGGUUUUAGCAAUGGCCAAAUACUUCUUUUCCUUGUGUUAGAGGUGAAGCCUAGCAGCAGUUGAAGAAACCCAGCAGCAGCUGAAGAAACCCUGCAGCAGCUGAAGAAACCUUGCAGCAGUUGAAGAAGAAACCUCGCAGCAUUUCAAUUCCUUUUGCUUUGAGCAGAGAGGUGUCCUGCCUGACUUCUAACACAGGUGUUUCUCUAAUGUUUUGACUGGGGUCGAAGCUCACAGCAAGGGGCUGCUGUUCUGCCCUUCAGGGUGAGUCUAGCACAGAAGACACUUGGCUUCUCUUCUGGCACAUUUCCCGUGGCCGUGGAGCUCCCUGCGCUUGUCAUACCUGCACAGAAGCAAGCUCUACCUAGUCCUUUAUCUUCACUUCAAUUACUCAAAUACAUACCAUACAGCACACAAUUGGCUGCCCAGAGAAGUUGUGGAUGCCCCAUCCUUGGAAGUGUUUAAGACUGGACUGAAUGAAGCUUUGAACAACCUGCUCUAGUGGAAAGUGUUCCUGCCCACAGCUGGGAGAGCUGGAACUAGGUAAUUUUUAAGAUCCCUUUGCGCUCAAGCCAUUCUAUGAAACCAUGUGACAAAUUGCACCCACAGUUUGUGCUAGUUGGAAGCUAAAAUAAUCUCAUGGGUUGAAAAGAAGGCAGGAGUCACCAAAAUGAAGGAGGAAGUCACAUAACUGAAGUGAACCCCCAAGAACACGCUGCAGAAAGGAGUAUUUUGAUUAAGGGAAAUAGGAUAUAAACCAUAUAGAAAGGACUAAACAACAGUGCAGGGAAGAAGCCUGGUUUGGCUUACUGGGACUAGCAAAAGCCAAUUAGUGAUUUCCACAUCAUUCAUUACUUUUUUCAUCAAAUUAAUUCCAUACACUCACCCCCACUGACUGCUUGCAUGCCAGCACCAUUUGAAGUUUUAAAGUAAUUCAAAGCACAAUAAGGAAAUCUCCUAAUGAUCCCUCAUGUGUCACAGUGGGAUACUCUUCUCUCAUCUCCAGUGUUCUCCACUCAUGAGGUAAUUGCCAGCAGUUAGUCUCAAAAGGACAUGCAACAGCUGUAGGAGGAGGACCUAGACAGGCUGCUGCUUUUACUGUAUGCAUGUCAGACAGUGCUGAAGCAUUUUGCAAAAGGAAAUUGCAGGGAUACAAUCCACAGACAUCCAAACAUUGCUACAAAUGCUAACUUUGGAGCGUGGGGAUUCUUUCAAAGGCAUCUUGAAAAAUUACGUAGGCCCCAAUGGGCUGUCAAGAGUUUAGUACAGUAUUUUUCAUGUCAAUCCACACUUGAAAGAAAAGGUCUUCUUUCCCCUUUCCUGGAACACAAAUCAGCAGUGGCCAAGUUCAAAAGACCAAAAGUAAAUUCAGAGAGACAGCCUUGCACUGUAAAACCCAACAUGGAAAAUGCUGGCCCUUUAAAGGGGGACAUCAAGUGAAAAAUAUUCUCAGUGAAAAACUAUGCUAAAAGAUCUCUGUAGUGUCUGUUUUGUAAUUAGUGCCUGUACUUCUGUUGCCUUUAGGUUAUGGGUUAGAAAAGACAAGGAGUUGCUACUACAUUACCUGUAGCAAAGGUCUGACAUUUAAUUCAUAUUACACUCCCCUUCCCCUGGAGUACCUGUUUUAAAAGCUGUGCUUUCACCUGCUGAGCAGCUAAUCUGCUCCAGCGUAUCAAUGGGAGGAUAAGAGUUUGAAUUCAA